UUGGGUUAAGUCCCGUAACGAGCGCAACCCUUGUCCUAGUUACCAGCACGUUAUGGUGGGCACUCUAAGGAGACUGCCGGUGACAAACCGGAGGAAGGUGGGGAUGACGUCAAGUCAUCAUGGCCCUUACGGCCUGGGCUACACACGUGCUACAAUGGUCGGUACAAAGGGUUGCCAAGCCGCGAGGUGGAGCUAAUCCCAUAAAACCGAUCGUAGUCCGGAUCGCAGUCUGCAACUCGACUGCGUGAAGUCGGAAUCGCUAGUAAUCGUGAAUCAGAAUGUCACGGUGAAUACGUUCCCGGGCCUU
Molecule: ribosomal RNA, 307 nt
Filed under: uncultured Pseudomonas sp.
Lineage: Bacteria; Pseudomonadati; Pseudomonadota; Gammaproteobacteria; Pseudomonadales; Pseudomonadaceae
Description: bacterial SSU rRNA
Rfam family: Bacterial small subunit ribosomal RNA
Source: RNAcentral